UACGUAGGGGGCAAGCGUUGUCCGGAUUUAUUGGGCGUAAAGAGCGUGUAGGCGGUUUGGUAGGUCCGCUGUGAAAACUCGAGGCUCAACCUCGAGACGCCGGUGGAAACCAUCAGGCUAGAGUCCGGAAGAGGAGAGUGGAAUUCCUGGUGUAGCGGUGAAAUGCGCAGAUAUCAGGAGGAACACCGGUGGCGAAGGCGGAUCUCUGGGCCUUACCUGACGCUGAGGCGCGAAAGCUAGGGGAGCAAACAGG
Molecule: ribosomal RNA, 253 nt
Filed under: uncultured bacterium
Lineage: Bacteria
Description: partial 16S ribosomal RNA
Rfam family: Bacterial small subunit ribosomal RNA
Source: RNAcentral